This 211-nucleotide ribosomal RNA is filed under the name uncultured bacterium. RNAcentral describes it as "partial 16S ribosomal RNA". It matches the Rfam family "Bacterial small subunit ribosomal RNA", at positions 524 to 732 of the family's 1533-position model. The record is from RNAcentral.
UACGUAGGGUGCAAGCGUUUGUCCGGAAUUAUUGGGCGUAAAGAGCUUGUAGGUGGUUUGUCGCGUCUGCUGUGAAAAUCCGGGGCUCAACCCCGGACUUGCAGUGGGUACGGGCAGACUAGAGUGCGGUAGGGGAGACUGGAAUUCCUGGUGUAGCGGUGAAAUGCGCAGAUAUCAGGAGGAACACCGGUGGCGGAAGGCGGGUCUCUGG